UCCAACGAGAACUGAGCCAAAACUAGAUUCUCAAUAUUUUUUUAAAUUCAAAUUCGAACUAAACUAAAACUAAAGUAAGAUGAUAUCAGUGGCGAAGCCAGAUGUCCUGCUUGUCCUGCUUGUCGUGCUGAGCAUGACAUACAAAAUUUCAGAUAAUGAAUUUUUUACGCAUAUAAUUUUUAAAAGAUAACACCUAUUCAUGCAGCUUGAUAUAUGUUCUUAUAUUUUCUUAACUUCAGCACGUUGCCAAAAAAUUCUUAAACAGAGAAAUUCAUUAUGCAAGUUAACGUUAUUUAACUCAUUUUGAAUGAAUAUCGAGACUUUGCCUGCAUGCAGGCAAAAGCAGGAAAAAAUGGGUGGCUUGCCCGACGUUUAGUCCUGCUCAACUCAGGCGAGCAGGACAAAUGUAAAAUUCUAACGCAUUUCAUUGGCUAAAACAGCUCUCAAGAAUGCAAAAUACGCAAAAAUAUGCCCUUUACUCCUACUCGAGCUUCGAUGAUAAACCUUCGAAUAUUCUUCUGAAUUAUUCAUCUUCCGGUGGUAGAUUUAUGAAUAUGUAAAUUCAUCCGAUUCAACCAAGCGUGUGUGAAAGUGCACGAGAUGUUAUUUUGGGUCUCUUACAAAGAUCUUUUAGUUCCAGUAGAAAAUCUUUGAGAAUCUACGCAAUAUAUACAGUAAAUUGAUGUUAUGCAUUACGGACAUUCAAACAAGUACAGAGCUAGGAUGGAGUGAAACAGUGUUGUUUUCAAAUAUAUAAACAUUUCAAACAUGAAUAUUGAGGAAAUCUUUGAGAUUCUACGCAAUAUAUUAAUUUGAUGUUAUGCAUUAGUGUAUUACUGACAUUAUUUAGACCGUAUAUUCAUUAAAUAUACAUCGACUGUAUAAGAUGUUACACCACAGAUUUACGCGCAUCGCCACGGACUUUGUCAAAACUUCUAUGACUGUGAAAAUAUUGAAAUCUAAAGAGACAUUAUUGAAUACAUGCGAUCGAACAUUGGGAAUAAAUCAAAGGUCAAUGAGACUUGUUAUUGUGAAACAUGUCACACCUAGGUUAAAAUGCGGAAGCGGACAAAGCGGAUCCAUCGAACGGAUAUGCGGAUAAAAUGCGGAACGGAAGGGGAUAAAAUGUGUCUUUUAAUGAUGAGUUUUUUUCGCCUCUUUUUUUACGCUCCGAAUGCAAAUGAGUUUUAGAGUAUGCAAAAUUUGGUUGUUGGUCAUUUUUGGCAAAAAUGCGGUAAAUUUGCCAAGAUUUUCCCCUUCUUAAGGUCAUAUUGGAGCUUAGAAUUCAAUGCUCAAAUCGCAGGAAAUGGCAUUUCCGGGGUUCUAAUUUUGAAAAUUUUCGGCCGAGAGCUCCCUUUCGGCAUGCCCCCAGACCCCCCCUAGAAAGUUUCGCGCCUUCGUUGCUCGAAGCAUGACAAACAAUUUUUGGCUGGCUUCGCCACUGUGUAAGAUUCUUGUUUCAAACUAGAACUAAGCCAAAACUAAAUUUUCAACGAUUUUUUUGUUGAAAUUCAAACUCGGAACUGAACUAAAACUAAAAUGAAAUUC
Non-coding RNA from Paramuricea clavata, 1548 nucleotides. The record is from the annotation of a GenBank genome assembly. NCBI's taxonomy places the organism in Eukaryota, Metazoa, Cnidaria, Anthozoa, Malacalcyonacea, Plexauridae.